This 128-nucleotide transfer RNA is filed under the name Marmota monax (woodchuck). RNAcentral describes it as "tRNA.SeC". Lineage: Eukaryota; Metazoa; Chordata; Mammalia; Rodentia; Sciuridae. The record is from RNAcentral.
GGUGAUGUGGCCCAGUGGUUGAGUGCCCCUGAGUUCAAUCCCUGGGUGUUAAAAAAACACCAAAAAAAAAAAAAAAGAGUGCUUGCCUAAUAUGCAUGAGGCCUUGGGUUCAAUUCCCAGCACUGCAA